GCACAGCUGACCGGUCCACCUGCUGCACCAGAUGCUCACGUCUACCUUGAUCACGAUCCAGUCGUCCUCACACCUGGCAUCCAAUCAGGCCCCUCAGCAGCCCCUCCUGUUCCUGACACAGAGCCUCUAAGACCCUGGAUUCUCCAGCAUGACAUGUGACUUUUUAUGUGCUAGGAGGUGACUCUUGCCAACCUCAACAAGUUGAAGUUUCUUAAAGGCUGGCUGUAACUGGAAUAUGAAAAUCAC
Molecule: long non-coding RNA, 246 nt
Organism: Bubalus bubalis (water buffalo)
Lineage: Eukaryota; Metazoa; Chordata; Mammalia; Artiodactyla; Bovidae
Exons: 3
Source: RefSeq, a predicted model, not a curated record